GAUGAACGCUGGCGGCGUGCUUAACACAUGCAAGUCGAACGAAGCACUUUAUUUGAUUUCCUUCGGGAUUGAUUAUUUUGUGACUGAGUGGCGGACGGGUGAGUAACGCGUGGGUAACCUGCCUUGUACAGGGGGAUAACAGUUGGAAACGGCUGCUAAUACCGCAUAAGCGCACAGCAUCGCAUGAUGCAGUGUGAAAAACUCCGGUGGUAUAAGAUGGACCCGCGUUGGAUUAGCUAGUUGGUGAGGUAACGGCCCACCAAGGCGACGAUCCAUAGCCGACCUGAGAGGGUGACCGGCCACAUUGGGACUGAGACACGGCCCAAACUCCUACGGGAGGCAGCAGUGGGGAAUAUUGCACAAUGGGCGAAAGCCUGAUGCAGCGACGCCGCGUGAGCGAAGAAGUAUUUCGGUAUGUAAAGCUCUAUCAGCAGGGAAGAUAAUGACGGUACCUGACUAAGAAGCAC
RNAcentral lists this ribosomal RNA (467 nucleotides) under uncultured bacterium. RNAcentral describes it as "bacterial SSU rRNA". It matches the Rfam family "Bacterial small subunit ribosomal RNA", at positions 28 to 493 of the family's 1533-position model. The record is from RNAcentral.